AAAACAGAAGUUAGGGCUCUUCUUCCAUUUAUUUUCUUCGCCAAUUCUCUUCCCAUUGUUUACAGAAAUCAUUAAUAAUAAAAAUUAUUUUCGAUAUUCAAUCCCUUUUAUUCAUAUCCGGUAAUCAAAUUUAUGCGUUACAUUACUACAUAAACCUCAAGAGAGGUUAUCAUCUUCCUAGGUUUCUCCAUUUUUUUCUUCAGCAUACUCUCUCUCUCAAGAAUACUAGGUUUUCGUUGAUGCUGACUUUGUAGAUGCUGGAUUCAUAUCAUUUUUAAUUGAUUCCAAUACUAUUGAAGUUAUACUUUUGCUGAGUAAUUGCUUCCAAUGUUAUGCAGUCCAUACUCAAGAGUUCAGUUUUAAGGUAGAGAGAAAUCCAGCUGAAACAUACUAUGUAUCAGAAAUCGAACUUAUGAAGGGAAAAAACAUAUUUUGCGUGAUAGUGAUAUUAUUCAAACUGCUCAAUAAUGGAGGUUCUUCAAAUGGCUUCGUAGAUAUACACCAGUUUCCAAACAUCUCGCAGCAACCACCUACAGACCUUCCAAUUAUAUAUGCCAAGCUGAAUAAGGCAAACCCUGGGUGUCUCGAAAGUGAAAUGAAAUAGAUUUCAUGAAACCAAUAAUCUGACUAGCUUGGAUGUGUUCAAGAUCUAUGUUAAUGAAAUGAAAGAGAGCCAAUGGUUAUACAUAUAUAUAGGUCAAUCCUUGCAUGAAUGAUGAUGCUUGACCUUACUCUUCAGAACCGUAGAUGGCUAACCAACUCUUGCAUGAGGUACAUUACCGAAUUAUUGCCAAAGCCAGUGCAACUCGAAUUUUGGCUACCACCAAGUGAUAAUAUUUGGGCUGCAAGAAGUGCACCACUACAGUGGUAGAUGAAGUCGGGAACCAUGAAAGCACCAAAUGUGAAAACAAGGUCGAGGAACCUGUAACGCGGUACCUUCUUCGUUUUGAAAUGAUAAACUAUAUCGGCAUAGUGUACCAUAUUUGUUGCGCUGAACAGUGAAGUCCCAUGGAUUAUCCGCCCAUUGCCCCAGACAUAGUCAGGAGGUACCCAACUAUUUGUUUAUCUUUACUUCAUUACGCAGCCUUCAGUCAUUCUAAUUAUGUACACAUUUAGGUUCCGAAGUAUGUAUAUUUUUGCCUCGCGUUUUUCUGUAUCUUUGUGGCUAUUUGUUUAUCCAAAUUUCAUGUUUUUCUGGCACCUGAAAGAGGAAAGUGUAAGGUGGUUGCAGCUUUUGAUGACAUGGAGAAGCAAACCACCCCCAUCUUCAUGAUAACAAAGUUACCUCACCAUAUGGAAGCCCUAACUUCCCCUUCAUCUACUUCUGCACCUGUGUAUCACUUGGCCCCGAUACGGAUGAUGAAACACCGAGAAAUACCCAGUUGCCUCCUAAAUGCCACCUACACUUUCAUUUCCAGUAAUGAAGACUAGCUUUACAGUUCCAUUCCAAAAAAUCAUACUUCUCUGCCAUACGGGUACUAUAUUAGGUGAUUAAAGUUAAGGAUGGAUGACUACAACAAAAAUUUAAUAAAAUGAUAGUCUGUCUAUGCAAAGUUGGUAACUCACCUCUCCGGUAGUAACUUGGCUCGCAAUUUUGUGAAUUUGGUUAUACAUGUAGCUGGAUAUGAAAUUUAAGAAUUAUUGUUUUUGUUUUUUCAGUGGAUAACCAUAGGAAUGAAGACAAGUUGAUGCACUUAUCCAAGUCCUAUUUGUAGUCUAUAAAUGUACGUGUAUGCCGUCUAACAUUCUGGAUCAUUAGUGUGGAUUAUUUUAUAGUCCAAUGAUAAGAAACUGAUACUUAUGUUGGUAAUAGGCGUAAAAGGAGUGUUGUCUUCAUGCAAAAGGAGCUCUCUACGGGAAGAAUGAAAUGUUUGUUCUUCUCUUCUGAGUUCAUUCUGUCAUUCAUUCUCCCCGAUCUUACUGUGUAAUCCCGGGGGGAGUCAAAGCUAUUAGGCCGAUGACCAAAUAUUCCGGUUUAUGUUGCAGUUUUUUGCUUUUGUUCUAUAAAUGACAUGCUUUAAUAUUCCCCACUGAUGUUUAUAUUGUUAGGAGGUUCACGAAUGAAUUUGGAGUAAGUAGGACCUUUGAAAUCUGAAAACCAAAUAAUAAUUGCAGAGAACACUUCUAAUGAAAAUAAAAAAAUCGUGAUUUCGUUGUUAUUA
Molecule: long non-coding RNA, 2162 nt
Organism: Papaver somniferum (opium poppy)
Lineage: Eukaryota; Viridiplantae; Streptophyta; Magnoliopsida; Ranunculales; Papaveraceae
Exons: 7
Source: RefSeq, a predicted model, not a curated record